RNAcentral lists this long non-coding RNA (1139 nucleotides) under Homo sapiens (human). RNAcentral describes it as "HSALNT0347234". The record is from RNAcentral. Lineage: Eukaryota; Metazoa; Chordata; Mammalia; Primates; Hominidae.
CUAGAAUCUUGGUGUGCUUGCAGGCUUUGAAGAACAAGCUGCCAUGAAUCCUGCAGCUACAAGGAAAUGAACUCUAUUAACUUGAGUGAGCUUAAAACUAGAUCCUUCCCCAGUCAAGCCUCCAGGUGAGAAUUCAAUCCUGGCUGGCACCUGGAUUGCAGCUUACAGAAGACCCAGCUAAGGCCAUGUCUGGACUUUAAAUCCACAGGAACUGCAAGGAAAACAGACCUCCACAUAGGAUCUGAAGAAGUGUUGUAAAAUAAAUGGAAAAUAUGACCUCUCUUGCUGGAAUAAGAGAUUUUCAGUUAAGUGCCCAUUUCCACAAAGUGUUUGUGCUGUAGUAAGUUGGGCGAUUAUCAUCCAUUGUCUUGGACUCAACCUUCUUGGACUCUCAUGAGUAACAUUAGCACCGGGAUCCAAACUGACAGCACAAGAUGAACUAUGACACGGAGUCCAAAGAUUGUAGUUGUGCUGUCAGGGUGAUGGGCUAUGCACAUGAACAGGCACUCCAGGUAUGUGUCAGUAAGCACACUGGGUCGAAGCGGACAAGGACAGGCUGACUUACGGUGUCCGUUGUGCUUGUGCUGUCUGAGCAGAAACUCCCUCCAUCCCUCAGCACCACUAUGGUAUCAGAAGUGGGACCUGCAGUGGGGCAUCUAGCAACCCCCAGGAGCAUUGAGUGACCAGGCUUGGGACCCACCGGGCGCAGGGUGUCCAUUGUUCUCUCGAAGCAACUGAGAAUUGUGGAUAUUCUUCAUUAUUCCAUCAUCAUCUCAAACCUCUUGGGUAUAGUGUUUGACUACUACUGUGACCAUAAAUUCCAAUAAAACCUAGGAAAAAUGAAACCACUACAUUAACUGAAAGGAUGUGCCUGUCACAGUCUCCACCAGAAGCUUUAUCUUACUACAGAGUCCAGAUGCAUUAAGGCUGUGUUCGAGCCAUGAUCUUCCUCUGAAGAAGAAAUGAAGAAGAAAUUUAUCUUAUUUUUGGAUAUAGUGUUCUUAGUUGGCAGUUUAAUUAUUAUUUUUACUUCAUCACUUUGUAUACGUCAUCGCACUUUCUCCUGGCCUAUAAGAUCUCUCCUGAGAAAUUUUACGUUCUACUUUACUGGAACUUCAUUAAAUAUUAUUUGCAUCAUU